UUCUCGAAUUUGAAAGAGCUACUUAUUUUAUUGUUAUGAAUAUUUUUAAUAUGCAUUGAAAUGUUAAUAUAUCUAGUUUUCUAAGAAAGUUUAAUUUUUUUAUGAUUAAUGGGAUGAGCUUUAAAUAGGAUUAGAAUUUUUGUUAUAUUUUUUCUAUUAGAAUGAUUUUGGUAAUUUUUUUUGUAAUAAUGAUUGGAUUAGUAUAAGGUAAGGAAAAGGAAUUCGGCAAUUAUUUUUCACCUGUUUAUUAAAAACAUGGCCUUUUGAAUUUAAUUUAAGGUCUGACCUGCCCGCUGAGGCCGCGGUAUUUUGACCGUGCAAAGGUAGCAUAAUAAUUAGUUUUUUAAUUGGAAGCUGGAAUGAAUGGUUGGAUGAGAAAAUAGCUGUCUCUUUUUUAUAGAAUUUUAUUUUUGAGUCAAAAAGCUUAAAUUUUAUUAAAAGACGAGAAGACCCUAUAGAGUUUUAUUUUGAUUGGGGCGAUCGAAAAAUUAAUAAAACUUUUGAUUAUAAGAUUAAAUUACCUUAGGGAUAACAGCGUAAUCUUUCUUAGAGUUCUAAUCGAAAGAAGGGUUUGCGACCUCGAUGUUGGAUUAAAAUUUAUUUUGGUGUAGAAGCU
RNAcentral lists this ribosomal RNA (616 nucleotides) under Ceresium longicorne. Its description in RNAcentral is "partial large subunit ribosomal RNA". The stretch from base 206 to 399 matches the Rfam family "Archaeal large subunit ribosomal RNA", at positions 1794 to 2108 of the family's 2987-position model. Lineage: Eukaryota; Metazoa; Arthropoda; Insecta; Coleoptera; Cerambycidae. The record is from RNAcentral.